UACGGGGGGGGCAAGCGUUGUUCGGAAUUACUGGGCGUAAAGGGCGCGUAGGCGGUUUGCUAAGUUGGAUGUGAAAACUCUGGGCUUAACCCAGAGCCUGCAUCCAAAACUGGCAAACUUGAGUACUGGAGGGGAAAGCGGAAUUCCUGGUGUAGCGGUGAAAUGCGUAGAUAUCAGGAGGAACACCGGUGGCGAAGGCGGCUCACUGGCCCGGUACUGACGCUGAGGUGCGAAAGCGUGGGGAGCAAACAGG
RNAcentral lists this ribosomal RNA (253 nucleotides) under uncultured bacterium. Its description in RNAcentral is "partial 16S ribosomal RNA". It matches the Rfam family "Bacterial small subunit ribosomal RNA", at positions 524 to 776 of the family's 1533-position model. The record is from RNAcentral.